Molecule: ribosomal RNA, 460 nt
Filed under: uncultured bacterium
Lineage: Bacteria
Description: partial 16S ribosomal RNA
Rfam family: Bacterial small subunit ribosomal RNA
Source: RNAcentral
CCUACGGGGGGCAGCAGUGAGGAAUAUUGGUCAAUGGACGCAAGUCUGAACCAGCCAUGUCGCGUGCAGGAAGACGGCCCUAUGAGUUGUAAACUGCUUUUGUACGAGGGUAAACGCAGAUACGUGUAUCUGUCUGAAAGUAUCGUACGAAUAAGGAUCCGCUAACUCCGUGCCCGCAGCCGCGGUAAUUCGGAGGAUUCAAGCGUUAUCCGGAGUUAUUGGGUUUAAAGGGUGCGUUGGCGGGCAGAUAAGGUCGAUGUGAAAUCCCGAGGCGCAACUUCGGAAUUGCCUGUGAUACUGUUCGUCUAGAGAGUAGUUGAGGUAGGCGGAAUGUGUGGUGUAGCGGUGAAAUGCUUAGAGAGCAUACAGAACACCGAUUGCGAAGGCAGCAUACCAAGCUACUUCUGACGUUGAGGCACGAAAGCGUGGGGAGCAAACAGGAUUAGAUACCCCUGUAGUC